GCGGCCGAAAGCGCUGAGUUGCCUGCGCUGUGGGGAGCAUGCGCACAGCGCCACCCUGGGGCCGAGGAGGCGUCGGGCCUCCUGCAAGGAGACCUCCACAGGUUCCACAUGAUGCUUCUGCUGACAUGCUGAGCCCCAUAACCAUGUCUAGCUGCAAGGGAGGCUGGAAAUGCAGGCUUUACACUGAGCUUCAGAGUGCCCAACUAUAUGCAGGCUUUGCUACUAAUGAAGUGAAUCAGGAAGCUGUGAGCAAUCUCUGCCCUGAAGAGGGCAGAAAGGGCUAGUGCUGAAGAUUGAACCCAGGGCCUUGUGCAUGCCAGGCAAGGACUCUUGCUGAGCCACACCUCUGGAUCAACAAUUUAGUUUUUUAGAAAAAUUAUAAAUAUACAUGGAACACCUACUGUAUAUGGGACACUGUGGGUGCAUUUUCAUCCAUGGACUUAUUUAUUUAGCUCUCCAACCUUGUGAGAUAUUUAUUAUCCUUUUAUAAAGUAGAGACCCCAACUUAGCAAGUCACCCUGAAAACAGAGGUCAGGAUGUGAACCCAGGUCUAAUUGCAGCCUUUCCCAGCAAACUUAGGAGUGAGCAGACCCUCCGAGGCUCUUCCCAGCAGAGGCUCUGGUGAUUACUUGCAGUUUCCCAAACAGCCUUUUCCUUUCCUGCAUCUGCCUUCAGACACAUUGUUCCGUCGGCCUGGAAAACUUUUCCGGUAUUCCUAGUAACUCCCCAGUGAACUUCAGACUCACUGUUCCAGUCUGUUAUCUAAUA
Chinchilla lanigera (long-tailed chinchilla) is the source of this 768-nucleotide long non-coding RNA. RefSeq lists it as uncharacterized. The record is from RefSeq and is a predicted model, not a curated record. The transcript has 3 exons. NCBI's taxonomy places the organism in Eukaryota, Metazoa, Chordata, Mammalia, Rodentia, Chinchillidae.